RNAcentral lists this ribosomal RNA (387 nucleotides) under uncultured bacterium. RNAcentral's name for it is "bacterial SSU rRNA". It matches the Rfam family "Bacterial small subunit ribosomal RNA", at positions 29 to 416 of the family's 1533-position model. The record is from RNAcentral.
AUUGAACGCUGGCGGAAUGCUUUACACAUGCAAGUCGAGCGGCAGCGCGGGGGCAACCCUGGCGGCGAGCGGCGAACGGGUGAGUAACAUAUCGGAACGUACCCCGUCGUGGGGGAUAACACAGCGAAAGCUGUGCUAAUACCGCAUACGACCUGAGGGUGAAAGCGGGGGAUCGCAAGACCUCGCGCGAUGGGAGCGGCCGAUAUCGGAUUAGCUUGUUGGUGAGGUAAAGGCUCACCAAGGCGACGAUCCGUAGCUGGUCUGAGAGGACGGCCAGCCACACUGGAACUGAGACACGGUCCAGACUCCUACGGGAGGCAGCAGUGGGGAAUUUUGGACAAUGGGGGGCAACCCUGAUCCAGCCAUUCCGCGUGAGUGAAGAAGGCC